Molecule: transfer RNA, 74 nt
Filed under: Salmo salar (Atlantic salmon)
Lineage: Eukaryota; Metazoa; Chordata; Actinopteri; Salmoniformes; Salmonidae
Rfam family: tRNA
About the family: Transfer RNA (tRNA) molecules are approximately 80 nucleotides in length.
Source: Rfam by way of RNAcentral
GGCCAGUUAGCUCAGUUGGUUAGAGCGUGGUGCUAAUAACGCCAAGGUCGUGGGUUCGAUCCCCAUACUGGCCA